UGGGGGAUAUUGCACAAUGGGCGCAAGCCUGAUGCAGCGACGCCGCGUGGGGGAUGAAGGCCUUCGGGUUGUAAACUUCUUUUGCUCUGAACAAGGCGCACUUUGGGGUGUGUUGAGUGUAGGGGUUGAUUAGCGCCGGCUAACUACGUGCCAGCAGCCGCGGGAAUACGUAGGGCGCGAGCGUUGUCCGGAAUUAUUGGGCGUAAAGGGCUUGUAGGUGGCUGGUUGCGUCUGUCGUGAAAGCUCAUGGCUUAACUGUGGGUUUGCGGUGGGUACGGGCUGGCUUGAGUGCAGUAGGGGAGGCUGGAAUUCCUGGUGUAGCGGUGGAAUGCGCAGAUAUCAGGAGGAAUACCGGUGGCGAAGGCGGGUCUCUGGGCUGUUACUGACACUGAGGAGCGAAAGCAUGGGGAGCGAACAGG
RNAcentral lists this ribosomal RNA (419 nucleotides) under bacterium. Its description in RNAcentral is "partial 16S ribosomal RNA". It matches the Rfam family "Bacterial small subunit ribosomal RNA", at positions 355 to 776 of the family's 1533-position model. The record is from RNAcentral.